GAUGAACGCUGGCGGCGUGCCUAAUACAUGCAAGUCGAGCGUACGGACGAGAAGCUUGCUUCUCUGAUGUUAGCGGCGGACGGGUGAGUAACACGUGGAUAACCUACCUAUAAGACUGGGAUAACUUCGGGAAACCGGAGCUAAUACCGGAUAAUAUUUUGAACCGCAUGGUUCAAAAGUGAAAGACGGUCUUGCUGUCACUUAUAGAUGGAUCCGCGCUGCAUUAGCUAGUUGGUAAGGUAACGGCUUACCAAGGCAACGAUGCAUAGCCGACCUGAGAGGGUGAUCGGCCACACUGGAACUGAGACACGGUCCAGACUCCUACGGGAGGCAGCAGUAGGGAAUCUUCCGCAAUGGGCGAAAGCCUGACGGAGCAACGCCGCGUGAGUGAUGAAGGUCUUCGGAUCGUAAAACUCUGUUAUUAGGGAAGACCAUAUGUGUAAGUAACUGUGCACAUCUUGACGGUACCUAAUCAGAAAGCCACGGCUAACUACGUG
This 497-nucleotide ribosomal RNA is filed under the name uncultured bacterium. Its description in RNAcentral is "partial 16S ribosomal RNA". It matches the Rfam family "Bacterial small subunit ribosomal RNA", at positions 28 to 507 of the family's 1533-position model. The record is from RNAcentral.